GGGGGGUGGCUGGGCGAGCCUGAUCCAGCCAUGCCGCGUGUGUGAAGAAGGUCUUCGGAUUGUAAAGCACUUUAAGUUGGGAGGAAGGGCAUUAACCUAAUACGUUAGUGUUUUGACGUUACCGACAGAAUAAGCACCGGCUAACUUCGUGCCAGCAGCCGCGGUAAUACGAAGGGUGCAAGCGUUAAUCGGAAUUACUGGGCGUAAAGCGCGCGUAGGUGGUUCGUUAAGUUGGAUGUGAAAGCCCCGGGCUCAACCUGGGAACUGCAUCCAAAACUGGCGAGCUAGAGUACGGUAGAGGGUGGUGGAAUUUC
RNAcentral lists this ribosomal RNA (314 nucleotides) under uncultured bacterium. RNAcentral describes it as "bacterial SSU rRNA". It matches the Rfam family "Bacterial small subunit ribosomal RNA", at positions 356 to 670 of the family's 1533-position model. The record is from RNAcentral.